RNAcentral lists this ribosomal RNA (403 nucleotides) under Verrucomicrobiota bacterium. RNAcentral's name for it is "Verrucomicrobia bacterium partial 16S ribosomal RNA". It matches the Rfam family "Bacterial small subunit ribosomal RNA", at positions 355 to 776 of the family's 1533-position model. Lineage: Bacteria; Pseudomonadati; Verrucomicrobiota. The record is from RNAcentral.
UGGGGAAUAUUGCACAAUGGGCGCAAGCCUGAUGCAGCAACGCCGCGUGAACGAUGAAGGUCUUCGGAUCGUAAAGUUCUGUUGCAGGGGAAGAUAAUGACGGUACCCUGUGAGGAAGCGCCGGCUAACUACGUGCCAGCAGCCGCGGUAAUACGUAGGGGGCUAGCGUUAUCCGGAUUUACUGGGCGUAAAGGGUGCGUAGGUGGUCUUUCAAGUCGGUGGUUAAAGGCUACGGCUCAACCGUAGUUAGCCUCCGAAACUGAAAGACUUGAGUGCAGGAGAAGAAAGUGGAAUUCCCAGUGUAACGGUGAAAUGCGUAGAUAUUGGGAGGAACACCAGUAGCGAAGGCGGCUUUCUGGACUGCAACUGACACUGAGGCACGAAAGCGUGGGUAGCAAACAGG